UACGGGAGGCAGCAGUGGGGAAUAUUGGACAAUGGGCGAAAGCCUGAUCCAGCCAUGCCGCAUGAGUGAAGAAGGCCUUCGGGUUGUAAAGCUCUUUUAGUGAGAAAGAUAAUGACGGUACUCACAGAAGAAGUCCUGGCUAACUCCGUGCCAGCAGCCGCGGUAAUACGGAGAGGGCUAGCGUUAUUCGGAAUUAUUGGGCGUAAAGAGCACGUAGGUGGUUUUUUAAGUCAGAUGUGAAAUCCCUGGGCUUAACCUGGAACUGCAUUUUGAAACUGAAAUACUAGAGUAUCGUAGAGGGAGGUAGAAUUCUAGGUGUAGCGGUGAAAUGCGUAGAUAUCUGGAGGAAUACCUGUGGCGAAAGCGGCCUCCUAAACGAAUACUGACACUGAGGGUGCGAAAGCGUGGGGAGCAAACAGGGAUUAGAUACC
RNAcentral lists this ribosomal RNA (431 nucleotides) under uncultured bacterium. RNAcentral describes it as "bacterial SSU rRNA". It matches the Rfam family "Bacterial small subunit ribosomal RNA", at positions 340 to 786 of the family's 1533-position model. The record is from RNAcentral.